This 65-nucleotide transfer RNA is filed under the name Elliptio icterina. Its description in RNAcentral is "tRNA-Leu". The record is from RNAcentral. Lineage: Eukaryota; Metazoa; Mollusca; Bivalvia; Unionida; Unionidae.
AGUAAGGUGGCAGAAAAAUGCCUCAGAUUUAAGCUCUGAAAAUGAAGUUAUUACUUCCCUUCCUA